RNAcentral lists this ribosomal RNA (253 nucleotides) under uncultured bacterium. RNAcentral's name for it is "partial 16S ribosomal RNA". It matches the Rfam family "Bacterial small subunit ribosomal RNA", at positions 524 to 776 of the family's 1533-position model. The record is from RNAcentral.
UACGUAGGUGGCAAGCGUUAUCCGGAUUUAUUGGGCGUAAAGGGAACGCAGGCGGUCUUUUAAGUCUGAUGUGAAAGCCUUCGGCUUAACCGGAGUAGUGCAUUGGAAACUGGGAGACUUGAGUGCAGAAGAGGAGAGUGGAACUCCAUGUGUAGCGGUGAAAUGCGUAGAUAUAUGGAAGAACACCGGUGGCGAAAGCGGCUCUCUGGCCUGUAACUGACGCUGAGGCUCGAAAGCGUGGGGAGCAAACAGG